Molecule: ribosomal RNA, 633 nt
Filed under: Rhodococcus sp. So1Ps_743
Lineage: Bacteria; Bacillati; Actinomycetota; Actinomycetes; Mycobacteriales; Nocardiaceae
Description: bacterial SSU rRNA
Rfam family: Bacterial small subunit ribosomal RNA
Source: RNAcentral
CCUGAUGCAGCGACGCCGCGUGAGGGAUGAAGGCCUUCGGGUUGUAAACCUCUUUCAGCAGGGACGAAGCGAAAGUGACGGUACCUGCAGAAGAAGCACCGGCUAACUACGUGCCAGCAGCCGCGGUAAUACGUAGGGUGCGAGCGUUGUCCGGAAUUACUGGGCGUAAAGAGUUCGUAGGCGGUUUGUCGCGUCGUCUGUGAAAACCCAUCGCUCAACGAUGGGCCGGCAGGCGAUACGGGCAGACUUGAGUACUGCAGGGGAGACUGGAAUUCCUGGUGUAGCGGUGAAAUGCGCAGAUAUCAGGAGGAACACCGGUGGCGAAGGCGGGUCUCUGGGCAGUAACUGACGCUGAGGAACGAAAGCGUGGGUAGCAAACAGGAUUAGAUACCCUGGUAGUCCACGCCGUAAACGGUGGGCGCUAGGUGUGGGUUCCUUCCACGGGAUCUGUGCCGUAGCUAACGCAUUAAGCGCCCCGCCUGGGGAGUACGGCCGCAAGGCUAAAACUCAAAGGAAUUGACGGGGGCCCGCACAAGCGGCGGAGCAUGUGGAUUAAUUCGAUGCAACGCGAAGAACCUUACCUGGGUUUGACAUAUACUGGAAAGCUGCAGAGAUGUAGCCCCCCUUGUGGCC